GGGGAAGGAGAACUGCACUGCACCUCCUACAGCACAUGCAGAGCCUAAGAGACGUUGGGAAGAAAAGUGUUUUCUGAGUUGGGACCCAAAGCAGCAGAGCCAGGAGCAGAAGGAGCUGAAGUUGAGACAGUUGGACAUGACUCUUGUUUGGCUCCUUGUUUGCACGCUGGAACUUCUUCAAAGGGAAACUUCGCCACCUGAGAAAAGGAGACAGCGAUGAUUGAAAUAGAAUUAGGCUCUACUCUUCACACAGUAUGAGGAUACCUGAGAUUGUAAGAUUUAAUUGUUGACAAAGGAAAUGCUCUCCACUCUUGUUGCCUUCAUUUCAAAAAUAACAGUGCGCUGUUGUCCAAGAAAACAUGAUGAGAUUAAUAAAUCAAUACUCCAUUUGC
Thunnus maccoyii (southern bluefin tuna) is the source of this 392-nucleotide long non-coding RNA. RefSeq lists it as uncharacterized. The record is from RefSeq and is a predicted model, not a curated record. The transcript is spliced from 2 exons. NCBI's taxonomy places the organism in Eukaryota, Metazoa, Chordata, Actinopteri, Scombriformes, Scombridae.